GUAGUCAUAUGCUUGUCUCAAAGAUUAAGCCAUGCAUGUCUCAGUGCAAGCCACAUUAAGGUGAAACCGCGAAUGGCUCAUUAAAUCAGUUAUGGUUCCUUAGAUGGUGGACAGUUACUUGGAUAACUGUGGUAAUUCUAGAGCUAAUACAUGCAACUGAGUCCUGACCGGCGACGGAAGGGACGCUUUUAUUAGAUCAAAACCAAUCGGUCGCUCACGCGGCCGUUUGCCUUGGUGACUCUGAAUAAAUUGAGGCGGAUCGCACGGUCUCCGAACCGGCGACGCAUCUUUCAAAUGUCU
RNAcentral lists this ribosomal RNA (300 nucleotides) under Reticulitermes speratus. RNAcentral's name for it is "SSU rRNA". It matches the Rfam family "Eukaryotic small subunit ribosomal RNA", at positions 20 to 308 of the family's 1831-position model. The record is from RNAcentral. Lineage: Eukaryota; Metazoa; Arthropoda; Insecta; Blattodea; Rhinotermitidae.